Molecule: ribosomal RNA, 1243 nt
Filed under: Campylobacter coli
Lineage: Bacteria; Pseudomonadati; Campylobacterota; Epsilonproteobacteria; Campylobacterales; Campylobacteraceae
Description: bacterial SSU rRNA
Rfam family: Bacterial small subunit ribosomal RNA
Source: RNAcentral
GCUAUGACGCUUAACUGGUCUGAGAGGAUGAUCAGUCACACUGGAACUGAGACACGGUCCAGACUCCUACGGGAGGCAGCAGUAGGGAAUAUUGCGCAAUGGGGGAAACCCUGACGCAGCAACGCCGCGUGGAGGAUGACACUUUUCGGAGCGUAAACUCCUUUUCUUAGGGAAGAAUUCUGACGGUACCUAAGGAAUAAGCACCGGCUAACUCCGUGCCAGCAGCCGCGGUAAUACGGAGGGUGCAAGCGUUACUCGGAAUCACUGGGCGUAAAGGGCGCGUAGGCGGAUUAUCAAGUCUCUUGUGAAAUCUAAUGGCUUAACCAUUAAACUGCUUGGGAAACUGAUAGUCUAGAGUGAGGGAGAGGCAGAUGGAAUUGGUGGUGUAGGGGUAAAAUCCGUAGAUAUCACCAAGAAUACCCAUUGCGAAGGCGAUCUGCUGGAACUCAACUGACGCUAAGGCGCGAAAGCGUGGGGAGCAAACAGGAUUAGAUACCCUGGUAGUCCACGCCCUAAACGAUGUACACUAGUUGUUGGGGUGCUAGUCAUCUCAGUAAUGCAGCUAACGCAUUAAGUGUACCGCCUGGGGAGUACGGUCGCAAGAUUAAAACUCAAAGGAAUAGACGGGGACCCGCACAAGCGGUGGAGCAUGUGGUUUAAUUCGAAGAUACGCGAAGAACCUUACCUGGGCUUGAUAUCCUAAGAACCUUUUAGAGAUAAGAGGGUGCUAGCUUGCUAGAACUUAGAGACAGGUGCUGCACGGCUGUCGUCAGCUCGUGUCGUGAGAUGUUGGGUUAAGUCCCGCAACGAGCGCAACCCACGUAUUUAGUUGCUAACGGUUCGGCCGAGCACUCUAAAUAGACUGCCUUCGUAAGGAGGAGGAAGGUGUGGACGACGUCAAGUCAUCAUGGCCCUUAUGCCCAGGGCGACACACGUGCUACAAUGGCAUAUACAAUGAGACGCAAUACCGCGAGGUGGAGCAAAUCUAUAAAAUAUGUCCCAGUUCGGAUUGUUCUCUGCAACUCGAGAGCAUGAAGCCGGAAUCGCUAGUAAUCGUAGAUCAGCCAUGCUACGGUGAAUACGUUCCCGGGUCUUGUACUCACCGCCCGUCACACCAUGGGAGUUGAUUUCACUCGAAGCCGGAAUACUAAACUAGUUACCGUCCACAGUGGAAUCAGCGACUGGGGUGAAGUCGUAACAAGGUAACCGUAGGAGAACCUGCGGUUGGAUCACCUCCUUUCUA